UACGGAGGGGACUAGCGUUGUUCGGAAUUACUGGGCGUAAAGCGCACGUAGGCGGAUUGUUAAGUCGGGGGUGAAAUCCUGGAGCUCAACUCCAGAACUGCCUUCGAUACUGGCGAUCUCGAGUUCGGGAGAGGUGAGUGGAACUGCGAGUGUAGAGGUGAAAUUCGUAGAUAUUCGCAAGAACACCAGUGGCGAAGGCGGCUCACUGGCCCGAUACUGACGCUGAGGUGCGAAAGCGUGGGGAGCAAACAGG
Molecule: ribosomal RNA, 253 nt
Filed under: uncultured bacterium
Lineage: Bacteria
Description: partial 16S ribosomal RNA
Rfam family: Bacterial small subunit ribosomal RNA
Source: RNAcentral